RNAcentral lists this ribosomal RNA (433 nucleotides) under uncultured Legionella sp. RNAcentral's name for it is "bacterial SSU rRNA". It matches the Rfam family "Bacterial small subunit ribosomal RNA", at positions 440 to 871 of the family's 1533-position model. Lineage: Bacteria; Pseudomonadati; Pseudomonadota; Gammaproteobacteria; Legionellales; Legionellaceae. The record is from RNAcentral.
GAGGGUUGAUAGGUUAAGAGCUAAUUGACUGGACGUUACCCACAGAAGAAGCACCGGCUAACUCCGUGCCAGCAGCCGCGGUAAUACGGAGGGUGCGAGCGUUAAUCGGAAUUACUGGGCGUAAAGGGUGCGUAGGUGGUUGAUUAAGUUAUCUGUAAAAUCCCCGGGCUCAACCUGGGCAGGUCAGAUAAUACUGGUUAACUCGAGUAUGGGAGAGGGUAGUGGAAUUUCCGGUGUAGCGGUGAAAUGCGUAGAGAUCGGAAGGAACACCAGUGGCGAAGGCGGCUACCUGGCCCAAUACUGACACUGAGGCACGAAAGCGUGGGGAGCAAACAGGAUUAGAUACCCUGGUAGUCCACGCCGUAAACGAUGUCAACUAGCUGUUGGAUAUAUGAAUAUAUUUAGUGGCGAAGCAAACGCGAUAAGUUGACCA